AUAAGGAGCUUGCUCCUUUGACGUUAGCGGCGGACGGGUGAGUAACACGUGGGUAACCUACCUAUAAGACUGGGACAACUUCGGGAAACCGGAGCUAAUACCGGAUAAUAUGUUGAACCGCAUGGUUCAAUAGUGAAAGAUGGUUUUGCUAUCACUUAUAGAUGGACCCGCGCCGUAUUAGCUAGUUGGUGAGGUAACGGCUCACCAAGGCAACGAUACGUAGCCGACCUGAGAGGGUGAUCGGCCACACUGGAACUGAGACACGGUCCAGACUCCUACGGGAGGCAGCAGUAGGGAAUCUUCCGCAAUGGGCGAAAGCCUGACGGAGCAACGCCGCGUGAGUGAUGAAGGUCUUAGGAUCGUAAAACUCUGUUAUUAGGGAAGAACAAACGUGUAAGUAACUGUGCACGUCUUGACGGUACCUAAUCAGAAAGCCACGGCUAACUACGUGCCAGCAGCCGCGGUAAUACGUAGGUGGCAAGCGUUAUCCGGAAUUAUUGGGCGUAAAGCGCGCGUAGGCGGUUUUUUAAGUCUGAUGUGAAAGCCCACGGCUCAACCGUGGAGGGUCAUUGGAAACUGGAAAACUUGCGUGCAGAAGAGGAAAGUGGAAUUCCAUGUGUAUCGGUGAAAUGCGCAGAGAUAUGGAGGAACACCAGUGGCGAAGGCGACUUUCUGGUCUGUAACUGACGCUGAUGUGCGAAAGCGUGGGGAUCAAACAGGAUUAGAUACCCUGGUAGUCCACGCCGUAAACGAUGAGUGCUAAGUGUUAGGGGGUUUCCGCCCCUUAGUGCUCAGCUGACGCAUAAGCACUCCGCC
Molecule: ribosomal RNA, 816 nt
Filed under: uncultured Staphylococcus sp.
Lineage: Bacteria; Bacillati; Bacillota; Bacilli; Caryophanales; Staphylococcaceae
Description: bacterial SSU rRNA
Rfam family: Bacterial small subunit ribosomal RNA
Source: RNAcentral